Long non-coding RNA from Chenopodium quinoa (quinoa), 1953 nucleotides. RefSeq lists it as uncharacterized. NCBI's taxonomy places the organism in Eukaryota, Viridiplantae, Streptophyta, Magnoliopsida, Caryophyllales, Amaranthaceae. The record is from RefSeq and is a predicted model, not a curated record. The transcript is spliced from 4 exons.
UAGUUAUUGAUAUCCUAACCCCUACUCAAAACCCCUACUAAUAUCCUACAACCCCUAAUAUCCUACAACCCCUAUUAAUAUCCUACAACCCCUACUAUACCAAAACCCCUUCUAAAUCUCUUAACCCCUAAUAUUGUGCUCAAAUUUUUGUUAGGUGAUUAUGUUUUGUUUAGAAACCAUCUUAUCUUCAAGGGAAACUAUCCUACAACCCCUAUUAUUAUCUUACCCCUACUAUCCUACAAGCCCUACUAAUAUCCCACAACCCUUACUAUCCUAAUCCCUACUAAAUCUUUUAACCCCUACUAUUGUGCUCAAAUCUUUGCUAGGUGAUUACGUUUUGUUCAGAAAUUUGAUGCCUUUUAUGGAAUGUACCUUCUUCCGCAAAUGAUACAUCUUCCACUCUCCUAUGCAUUCCUAUAUUUCUUUUUUCUCAUAUUCCAAAAAUCUACCGUCUUGUUAAAGGUCUAUUAUUUUAACUUUGCAGGAAAACCACUGAAGAAGGAAACCUUUUUACUAGAACUGGUGAUGGAAAAGUAAUUGCUCAUGGAAGAGAUGGGAGACUUUAAAACUUUUUCAAGAGAAUUACUUUGAAACGCUGACUUGGUACAGAAGAAAAUCCUCCUGUUGUGACUCACCCUAACAUGGAACCUGAAGCAUCUUUAAACAGAGGCUCUUAUCACAACAUGAAUGAUGCAAGCAUGCAGGUUGCGGAUCGAGAUUGCAACCCUUAAGGAAAGCAUGCAAAACUUAGACCGAUUGACAUUCAAUAUUCGUAAACUUUGAGUCUCUCUCAUACAGGAAAACCACCGAAGAAGGAAACCUUCUUACUAGACCUGGUGAUGGAAAAAUAAUUGCUUGUGGAAGAGAUGAGAGGCUUAAAAACUUGUUCAAGGGAACUACUUUGAAACGCUAGCUUGGUACACAUAAGGAAAUCCUCCUGUUGUGACUCACCCUAACUUGGAACUUGAAGCAUCUUUAAACAGAGGUUCUUAUCACAACGCAGAAUUAUGGUUUCGAUUGAAUUCAUCAGAUUGCUCUAGUUAAUUAGUCGGAUAUGUUAAUUUAGCAUGCAGGCUACGGAUCGAGAUUGCAACCCUUAAGGAAAGCAUGCAAAACUUAGAGCGAUUGACAUUCGAUAUUCGUAAACUUCGAGUCUCUCUCAUACAGGCCAGGACAAACAUGCACGUUCAUCUAAAAGUGCUGCUUCUAGCACAACGGAAAUCUUGGAUGAAAUUAUUAGGGAAGCUGAAAUGGUAAAGCUUGCGCUUAGUGCUGCUUUGCCACUUAGCAGGUCUAGGGAGGGAGAUGUAGAAUCAUCUAGUGAUAUGAAUGUCAAUGAGAAUUCAAAUUAUGGAAACCCCCAACACUGAGAAAAUGGAUUCAGUUUCUGCAGCAGGCAUUGAAAUGGUAGAGCUUCUUAUAUUAGCAGCUCCGAUGAUGAAAAAAAGGGAGAAAAAGGUCAAAAGGGAGCACAAAUUGCAAUAAAUAAAUAAAAGCAUCAUAUCCAAGAAGUCAGACAAAUUCAAGUAAUCAACCUUGCAUGCUGAUGCUGUUAAUCAAUUUUUAAUAGCAAAUUUUGUCCAUUUUGUGAAAUAAUAGGGUAUUUUGUGUAAAUCUGUACACUAGAUUAUGAGUGUAAGUUGAGUAUGAGUAGUAUGUAUUUUUUUUCCUUUUCAGAGGAUCCUCUUCAAGUAUGUGUCUGAUGUAAAUUUUAAGCACUCACUGGGAAGAGAAUAUAAAAAGAAAGAAAGAAAGAAUGUCCUACAACUUGAUGUUUGAUGAACAACUGUGUCUAAUCUAAAUUACUUUGAUAAUGUGGAUUUAGUCUGGGUCCAAGUGAGGCUUAGUUUUGGUUUUUUUUAGUACAUAUGCUUUGUACAAAUAUUGAGUUUUACAUUUCUAAAAACAUUACAUUUGUCCAUUCCUAUCUCUGCUUUCUAAUGUGAAAUUCGC